CGAAAAGUCAAAGACCAAAACCUGUGCAACGAAAGGAAAAUGUAGAAGAUACAUCACAACCUGUUUCAAAAUUUAAUGAAGUUCAGCAAAUGCAAGCAGAUACCGAGUCACCAGUGCUUGGAACAAGUAGUUUUUCUGAAUAUGCAACUGUCAAUAGGAAGGCAAAAGCAGACAACACAGAAACAGAAGAUAUUCAUUAUGCAACAAUCAAUUUUCAGAGAACUGCACCAGAUUAUGGCUCAGUGGGUGUAUCUUCUCUCUGGCAGCUCAAGUACCACGGGAGAGAUGUGAGCACAGUAAUAUAGUAUUGCAGCAAUGGGAGCAAAAAGGGAGCAGAGAGAACACAGAGCAACAAAAAUCCUUCAGAAGUUGAAUUGGACACUUCAAACGAAGAAGAUUCCUUUACUAUCUAUGCACAAAUAGCACAUGUGUAAGAUCAAUAAUCUUCAGACAUAGCAGGAGGAGUUUGGUCUUAUAUUUGUAAAAUAUACCAUUUAUUUUUGGGAACUGAUUUUCUGAUUUCUGAGUAGAUUAAAGCUUUCUUUCUGUGUA
Non-coding RNA from Chiloscyllium plagiosum (whitespotted bambooshark), 552 nucleotides. NCBI's taxonomy places the organism in Eukaryota, Metazoa, Chordata, Chondrichthyes, Orectolobiformes, Hemiscylliidae. The record is from RefSeq and is a predicted model, not a curated record.